Non-coding RNA from Nematostella vectensis (starlet sea anemone), 72 nucleotides. The record is from Rfam. NCBI's taxonomy places the organism in Eukaryota, Metazoa, Cnidaria, Anthozoa, Actiniaria, Edwardsiidae.
GCCGUGAUCGUUUAGUUGUUAAUACAUUGCGUUUUGGCCGCAAUAACCCAGGUUCGAAUCCUGGCCACUGCA